GCAACCUCAUGGUUCCUAGUCGGAUUCGUUAACCACUGUGCCACGACGGGAACUCCAAUUUCUCUUAUUUAAACCUCGGAGCAAUUACAUUAGUUCUGAUUCACCUUUCAGGCACUGGGUAGGACUGCACUUCCCCACCACCCUCUAGUUGGCUAGGGCCAUGAGACUUGCAUUGGUCAAUGAAAUAUGAGCAGAAAACGUGGGUCAGUUCCACGUGGGGUCAUGUAAGAGUGGAAGUACAUCCUCUUAUCCUCCCUUUCUUGCGUGGGUGAAUGGAUCCAGGUGGUGGAACCCGGGUCCCUGAAUGAAAAUGAUGUAGAACAGGGAACACACGCAAUCCAUGAGGAACAUGUGGGAUUAACGAGAAAUCAAUCCCUGGCUUUUAACCCACUGAGCUUUAGGGUUAUUUGUUACAGCAGCAUAACCCAGACUAUCUUUACUGACUCAGUACACUUUAGCUGUGUUUUUACUAGAAAAUUAAGGAUCAGAUAAAUUACAUCAUUUGUUCAAAAACACACACCUAAAAGAUGGUAGAAGUGGGAUUAGGAUUUAGGUCUAAUUCCAGGGCUAAGAGUUGCUGUCAAUUGAAUCAUUUACUCCGUGCUUCUUCCUAAUUUACUCAAGAAACAUUUUCUGAAUGGCUAUUUUAUUACCCACUGUUAGUUUAGGGGAACAGGGGUAUUACAGAUUUUAACAAAUACCCUACCCAUAAACAGAACACUUACUGAGGGAAGAUUAUAUGCCAGGUACCACUGCAAAGAAUGUCUUCCAGGUUAACAUUUAUCCCCCCCCCCAGUGAAAUGCCACUUUGGGUUUUCUGUUUUUUGUUUUUUUGCCUUUCCUAGGGCCAUUUCCCCAGGUAUAUGGAGGUUCCCAGGCUAGGGGUCUAAUUGGAGCUGCAGCCGCCAGCCUACACCACAGCCACAGCAACGCAGGAUCCAAGCCGCAUCUGCGACCCACACCCCAGCUCACGGCAACGCCAGAUCCUUAACCCACUGAGCAAGGCCAGGGAUCGAACCCGCAACCUCAUGGUUCCUAGUCGGAUUCGUUAACCACUGCGCCACGACGGGAACUCCACCACUUUGGUUUUUAAUACCGGAACUUCUUGGAGUGUAUAUAGUUCUCGAUGUGUCUUCACCUAAUUUUUACGUGGGGAAAUGUAUGCUCUCAAAACUCAUUACAACAUUUUUAACAAAAUGAUGAGCACAAAAAUCUCAAGGUUAUAUUUUGAAAUUCAAUCAGAAGGUCAGAACCAUGUGUGGACGUGAAAUGGCUGGCCAAGGCCAACACAGGUGACGUGAGGUUGGAUGUUGCUGACUGGAGGGGAAUCACUGUGGGAAGGGAGCUGGUUUUUAGCCACCAUAUUAAAUGUUUAGCUCUCAGAAGUAAUGUUUUUGAACUUUUACAUACUAAUGUGGUAGUUUGUUACUUAUCGCUACAAGGUGGGCUGGCCUAGGCCAGAUGGGCCAAUGAGAUGCAAGAAGACCAGCUGAGGCUUCUGGAGACGGGUGCCGGCUGCCUCAUCCUUCACACUGUCCUCUCCAGCCAGGACGGCUGAGGUUGCAGAAGUACUCCCUGGACCAGGCUGGGGCUGCACACUGGAAGAGGAAGUCUACAGAGCCAGGAGAUGAGAUAAACUAGAUCUGCGAUGAUGACGGUGGUGGUGGUGGUGAACCAGUCAACCAUCUCUGUAACCUAGCUACCUCUGGGCUUCCUGUGCUGUGACGCAAGAAACAGCCAUAUUCUUUCAGGCUUGAAGCGCUUAUCCCCAGGGGUUUAUGAAGACUCUCAAUGAAUCCCAGAGCAGAGAUGUCUCCACGGGAAGCAAUGCUCAGAUCCUGAACUGCCACGGGUUUCCUUUCCUGAAACAGAUCUGACUCUGAAAACAGCCAGCCUUCUCAGCUGUCCAUCCCUCAAUGCACAACUGCCCGCCUCUGCCCAGGCGGGUGUAUAGAGCUCUAGGACUCCAAACAACAGAAAGCAUGAAAAUACUGGUUUCAGGGAAGUAGCCUUUAAUGAAUAAUAAAGCUCCUUAAGCUCCUAGGCUUGCCUGUCUUUCCCUGACUUAUACAUAGUUCUGUUAAAUGUGAAUCUGGCUCUAAAAACAGGAUAUUUUGGCCCAUACUGGGAUCUCCUAAAUUCAGACCAGUCAAAGCAAUAUAGGUUAGUGGCUGUGACUCAUUUAAAUGGAAUGUGUUGCAGGACCACCAAACUUUUCGAAAUCCGUCCGAAACAACUCCCAGGGGAAAAUUUGAUUUCUUUCAGAUUCUGUGUGAUUUAAUAAGGUUGUGAAAACCUAUUUUACCUAAUCAUAUUAUAGAAUAUUUCUUUCGAUUACAAUCGUCGUCUUACUGAAUCUUACAAAAUAUGUGCUAUUUUGUCUCAAAAGAAGAAAAAUCUUAAGUUACCAUAGAAUUAUUUUAGAUGUUAGCUUUAUAAUGUAAAGGAGGUGUGACCUGUCAGAGUUCUCUUGAGGGGACACACACACAAAUACAUGAAGAUGAUCAGUUUAAAUCAGAAUAAUCCUGGCCAACCCACAACCUCAUUCCUGGUGGCUGAGCUACAGGAACUUAGUUAGCAUAGGGUACAAAUCCUGGGAGAAAAAAAGACCUCAGACAAAGGCAGAGUCACACGUGCCUGGGGUCAGGGCCAAUAGGGCAGCCAGUCGGACUCCACACCCCCUUUUGUCCAGCCCUCAGGGGCCUCAGGAGCAAAGCUGCUACAAGACAGUAUUUGAAAAGGGAUUUUCUGGCCCAGUGGGUCAAAUCAAAAGAUUCCCUUCCACCCAAAUAAAAGGGCUGUGGUUCCUCCUUCACCUCCAAGUAAGUGUGAGUACACAUGUACACACACACACACACACACACACACACGUGGGGGAAGCCUUUACCAUAAAUUACCGCAAACUAAGCCAGUGAGUAACUACCGUCUUGAACAUUUUCUGCUACUAUCAAAAUUUGUCUUCAAGAGCCGGAAUGUGAAGUAACAUUUCAGCAUGCACAGUAUCCGGCUGUUUCCAAGUUAGCUGAGGGGUUUCCACACUGGUUAAACCAUCACACUAAUAAAGCUCACACAUCUAACCAUAGUGCCUUUGGUUGGAUUUUUAAAAACAUGGUGUGUGCAAGGCUGGGUAAGGGGCAGGAAAGGAAUGAUUCUCCAAAGAAGAUCUAGACACAAACUCUACUUUCAUUGCCUGAGAAAGACUCUGGCCCCCUCUGUGGCUAAAACCUUAGGUUGGGCAUGAUCCCUACACUGACCAGAGGGGUUCUCAAACCCUGACGUGCAUCCAAUCACGCAGGAUGUUGCUCAAAACUCAGAAUCCCAGGCCCCGGAUCAGGAUCUCCAGCAUUUCGAGCAGAGGCUUUGUAAUUUUAACAAACUUCCCAGGGAAGACUGCGGCUCACUCCGGUCCGAGAACCAGCACUAAGAAAGCUCUAGGAAAGUGGUUCUCUAACAUCUGAUUCAUAUAAAUCAUUUGUGGAGGUUUUUUUUUUUUCUUUUUAUGGCCACACCUGCAACACAUGCAAGUUCCCAGGCUAGGGGCUGAAUCAGAGCUGCAGCUGAGGCCUACACCACAGCCACAGCCACGCCAGA
Molecule: long non-coding RNA, 3591 nt
Filed under: Sus scrofa (pig)
Lineage: Eukaryota; Metazoa; Chordata; Mammalia; Artiodactyla; Suidae
Description: lncRNA (ENSSSCG00015006641.1)
Source: RNAcentral